Molecule: ribosomal RNA, 793 nt
Filed under: uncultured archaeon
Lineage: Archaea
Description: bacterial SSU rRNA
Rfam family: Archaeal small subunit ribosomal RNA
Source: RNAcentral
ACUGCUCAGUAACACGUGGACAACCUACCCAAAGGUCUGGGAUAACUCCGGGAAACUGGGGAUAAUACCGGAUAGGUCAAGAGUACUGGAAGGGUUUUUUGAUUGAAAGCUCUGGCGCCUUUGGAUGGGUCUGCGGCUGAUUAGGUUGACGCCGGUGUAAAGUACCGGCGUGCCGAUUAUCAGUACGGGUUGUGGGAGCAAGAGCCCGGAGAUGGAUUCUGAGACACGAAUCCAGGCCCUACGGGGCGCAGCAGGCGCGAAAACUCUACAAUGCAGGCAACUGCGAUAGGGGAACAUCGAGUGGCAUCUACAUUAGGUGUCUGUCCAGCUGUCUAAAAAACGGCUGUUAGCAAGGGCCGGGCAAGACCGGUGCCAGCCGCCGCGGUAAUACCGGCGGCUCGAGUGGUGGCCGAUAUUAUUGAGUCUAAAGGGUCCGUAGCCGGCUUUGCAAGUCUUGUGGGAAAUCCAGCGGCUUAACCGUUGGGCGUCUGCGGGAUACUACAUUGCUUGGGACUGGGAGAGGUAGGAGGUACUCAGGGGGUAGGAGUGAAAUCCUGUAUCCUCUGGGGACCACCGGUGGCGAAGGCGUCCUACCAGAACAGGUCCGACGGUGAGGGACGAAAGCUAGGGGCACGAACCGGAUUAGAUACCCGGGUAGUCCUAGCCGUAAACGAUGCCCGCUAGGUGUCACGGCAGUCGUGAACUGCCGUGGUGCCGUAGGGAAGCCGUGAAGCGGGCCACUUGGGAAGUACGACCGCAAGGUUGAAACUUAAAGGAAUUGGCGGGGGAGCAC